UAGUAACUGCGAGUGAAGGCGGGAAAAGCUCAAAUUUGUAAUCUGACAGUUUUAUUGACUGUCCGAGUUGUAAACUAGAGAAGUGCUAUCCGCGCUGGACCGUGUACAAGUCUCCUGGAAUGGAGCGUCAUAGAGGGUGAGAAUCCCGUCUUUGACACGGACUGCCAGGGCUUUUGUGAUGCGCUCCGUCAAAGAGUCGAGUUGGUUGGGAAUGCAGCUCGAAAUGGGUGGUAAAUUCCAUCUAAAGCUAAAUAUUGGCGAGAGACCGAUAGCGAACAAGUACCGUGAGGGAAAGAUGAAAAGAACUUUGGAAAGAGAGUUAAACCGUACGUGAAAUUGUUUAAAGGGAAACGCUUGAAGUCAGUCGCGUCAUCCAGGGAUCAACCUUGCUGGAUCCGUUCGCAGGGUGCACUUCCUGGCUUUGACGGGUCAGCAUCAAUUUUCACCGUCGGAUAAAGGUCAGGGGAAUGUGGCAUCUUCGGAUGUG
RNAcentral lists this ribosomal RNA (487 nucleotides) under Cantharocybe virosa. RNAcentral describes it as "LSU rRNA". It matches the Rfam family "Eukaryotic large subunit ribosomal RNA", at positions 81 to 553 of the family's 3401-position model. The record is from RNAcentral. Lineage: Eukaryota; Fungi; Basidiomycota; Agaricomycetes; Agaricales; Hygrophoraceae.